GGAAGCGUGGCCGAGUGGUUGAAGGCACUGGUCUUGAAAACCAGCAACGGGGCAACCCGUUCGUGGGUUCGAAUCCCACCGCUUCCGCCA
RNAcentral lists this transfer RNA (90 nucleotides) under Kumtagia ephedrae. RNAcentral's name for it is "Mesorhizobium ephedrae tRNA-Ser". It matches the Rfam family "tRNA". Rfam says of the family: Transfer RNA (tRNA) molecules are approximately 80 nucleotides in length. Their secondary structure includes four short double-helical elements and three loops (D, anti-codon, and T loops). The record is from RNAcentral. Lineage: Bacteria; Pseudomonadati; Pseudomonadota; Alphaproteobacteria; Hyphomicrobiales; Phyllobacteriaceae. RNAcentral also lists the same sequence under 2 other names.